UGAUGAAUCUGCUAAGUCAGAGAAGGAUC
Molecule: non-coding RNA, 29 nt
Filed under: Homo sapiens (human)
Lineage: Eukaryota; Metazoa; Chordata; Mammalia; Primates; Hominidae
Source: RNAcentral